RNAcentral lists this long non-coding RNA (5478 nucleotides) under Canis lupus familiaris (dog). Its description in RNAcentral is "lncRNA (ENSCAFG00845014275.1)". The record is from RNAcentral. Lineage: Eukaryota; Metazoa; Chordata; Mammalia; Carnivora; Canidae.
GUCCCGACAGCUGACGGCCAUGUUUCUGUUCCCUUUUCUUUUUUUUCUCCCCGUCCUUCCGCCCCUUUCCACUGAACAGCACUUUCCUUUUCCCCCUCCCUCUCCCUUUCCUACUGCGGGGGCGGGUGGACAAGGACGUGGGGGAGGGGAGGGCAGGGCAGGGCAGGGGCGGGGCGGCGCCGGGGCCACGCCCCCGGGGCGGGGCGGGGCGGGGCGGGCCGCGCGGCCUCUGCUCCCCUCCCCUCCCCCACCCCCCGCGGCGACCCCCGCGGGGCGCGAGGUCGCCGCCCGGGCCCUUCGCAGCCCUUCCUGCGCGUCGGCGCGGCGGGUCCCCUGCGGGAGCGGCGCGGGAGGACGGGCCCUGGGCGCCGCUUCGCACCCCUCCUACGGGCGGGCUGACCGUGUGGUGCGGGCUUAUUGCCUUGGCCUCGGGCAGGUGGCGGCCGCUCCUCGCGGCUGUAUCCAAGGCGGGCCGAGGGAGUCCCUCGGAGUCCGUGACGAGCCUGCCGGCGGGGAGCGACCCCUGGAAGACAACAUUCGUUCCCACGAUGCGUGCAAAGUCCUUCCGCCUUCAUGCAAAAUUUGCAAAAUGUUUUUGACAGCGUUUGGAAGUUACUAGAUGAGAAAGAAUAACAACCAGUUAUUCGAUUUGGAAUAACCAACAUAUGACAGACUUCCAAAAAAUAUGUGAUAAGUGACUGAAAUAAAUCAUGGUUCCCUCACUUUCUUCCACUCUAUCAUCAGGCGAGUUACUUAAUUUACCUCAUGUAUAAAGUGAGUAAAAUUCUAUUAGUAAAAAGUGAGAUCAUUUAGUAAUUUACAAUAAGCUAUAAUAUCAAACAGACCAGUCCAGUAAUCAAUAUUUAGCACAUGUGAUAGGCAGCCUUUCAUUGUGUCUUAUAAUGAUCCCUACUUCCUGAUUUAUGCUCUUGUGUAAUCUCCUUCCACUGGCUGUGGGGUGGAUUUAUGGAUGAGCUUCUAACACACAGAAUACAUCAGAAGUGAUGAGAUGUCUCUAACAAGAUGAGACUAUUAAAAAAGACCUGUGCCUUCACUCAUGGAUUCUUUCUCUCUCACCUUCUGGAUUGCUUCCUCUGGGGGAAGCCAGCUACCAUGUCAUCAGGCAGCCGUGUGAACGAGUUCAGAAGUGUAUCCUAGCCAAGUUGAGCCUUGAGAUGACUGUAGCCACAGCCAAAACCUCUAUUUCAGCCUCCUGACAGACCCUGAGCCAGAAUUGCCCAACUAAGCUGCUCCUACAUUCCUUACUUACAGAACUGUGAGUUAAGAAAUGUUUCUUGUUUCCAGCUGCAACAUUUGGGGGUUAAUUUGUGACAUAACAAAAAUAAUUAAUACAUUAUAGUCAUACCUGGAUGAUAACAAGUGUGCAUUCACGGUAGCUAAUCCUUGACUAGGGUUUAGCAUGCGAUUCUUAGCAUCCUAUCAUGCUAAAUUUAAGUAUAGUGGUUAUAAUUGCAGUAAAAGAAGGUAAGAAAAGUGGAAAGACUAACUUCUCCUGAUCAGUUAUUUAUAAACUAUCUUUGCUCCAAAAGAGUUCACUAAAAUGUAUUUCAUAUGAUAUCUUGGAUUUGCUUCAAAAUAAUGCAAGGAGGGAUACAAUAGUGAGUAAAUAUGAGUUUAGGUAAAACAAAAUUGGACACAAGAUGAAAUGGAGUGAUUGCUACUGGGGGUUCUUAGAGUUCUCUACUUUUAAUAACUUUUUAAUUUUUUCAUAAUAAAAAGGGUAGCUUUAAGAUUUCAUGGAAUCAUGAGUUUGUAGUAGAGGGGAAACUUUAGAGAUCGUCUAUUCUAAUUAAGUCAUUUGAUAGAUGGGGACACUAAGGCCCAGCAAAGUUUACUGACUUACCUAGAGUCUUCCCAGGCUCAGCUUUAGUGAUUUCAUGGUUGAGUAUGGAGAAACUACUAAUAAGUUCUUAACCCUUUAUUUUCUCAGUCAGAAUAACUUAACUCUAGAUUCCCUAGGAUAGCCUCCACAGCAUGAAAAUCUGAGCCUGAUCUCUACUUUCCAGUGUAUAAGCCACUUGUCAUACACUGGCAAGUUAUUUGGUUCCAGCCCCUUACUCAUCAAUUUUCAAAAACACAGGAUUUGAAGGCCUGGUGUUUUAUGCCUGCAGGCACUGUGUUAUCCUUCUAGAAAAGAGUUUUAAGUAACAAUGACAUCAACAAACACUAGAUCUGCAUUAUUCAUGUAUCUAAAUGAGCCAGUGUGUCCUACUCUCCACAAGGAGCAUUAGCACACUCUCUUUGUGUUCUACUCCAGUAUCUUAUCUGACUGUGGACUCUGUCCCAGCAUUAUCAGAAUGACCUCAUCUAGAGUCUUUUGGAAUUACUCAGCAUAAUCUUUAUCCAACUCUCCUUACUAGGCCUGCAGGCCAAACAUAGAUGGACUCUAGGUGGAGAGGGUUGGCACAAGGCUCCUGAUCUUGAGUCAAAAUAGAGUAAAUGAUCCUGAGAACAAAUCAUAAAGAGUUGGGAUUAGCAAAAGGAAGAAACACAGACAGGGGACGCCUGGGUGGCUCAGCAGUUGAGCAUCUGUCUUGGGCUCAGGGCGUGAUCCUGGGGUCCUGGGAUCGAGUCCCGCAUCAGGCUCCUUUCAGGGAACCUGCUUCUCCCCCUGCCUAUGUCUCUGCCUGUGUGUGUGUGAUCAAUAAAUAAAUAAAAUCUUUUUAAAAAGAAGAAGAAGAAAAACAGAAAGAAAUAAUGGGUGGAGAGGUUGAUAGGAAGACAGCCUAUUCUUACUGUUGCCUGUCAUGACUAGAAUUCAACUCUUACCUGCUUCUUCCCAACCCCUUUUUCUGGGCUUUAAUUCUUUUUUUUCCUCACAUCAUAUCAAAUUGUCCUGACCACAGACCAAGAAAUACAUGUAUUGUAGGGGCAUUGGGUGGUACAGUUGGUUAAGCAUCUGACUCUAGUUUUUGGCUCAGGUUGAGAUCUCAGGGUCUUGAAACCAAGCUUUUUCUGGGGCAUGGAGUCUGCUUGAGAUUCUAUCUCCUUCUCCUUCUGUCCCUUCUGCUUAUGCGCUCGCUCUGUCUCAGAUAAAUAAGUAAAUCUUUUUUUAAAAAAAGAAAUAUAUGUAUUCUGUGUUUCAAAGAUCAAUUUUUUUAAAAAAUUUUAUUAAGAAAACAGGGCAGCCUGGGUGGCUCAGUGGUUUAGCACUACCUUCAGCCCAGGGUCUGAUCCUGGAGACCUGGGAUCGAGUCCCACAUCUGGCUUUCUGCAUGGAGCCUGCUUUUCCCUCUGCCUGUGUCUCUGCCUCUCUCUCUCUCUCUCUCUCUCUCUCUUUCUGUGUCUCUCAUGAAUAAAUAAAUAAAAUCUUUUAAAAAUUUUUUAUUAAGAAAACAAGAACAAUAAGAUAUAAGCAUCAAUAAAAAUAAUAGUAUAGGGACAUCUGAGUGGCUCAGCGGUUGAGCACCUGCCAUUGGCCCAGGGCGAGAUCCUGGAGUCCCACAUCGGGCUCCCUGCAUGGAGCCUGCUUCUCCCUCUGCCUAUGUCUCUGCCUCUCUCUCUCUGUGUGUCUCUCAUGAAUAAAUAAGUAAAAUCUUUUUUUAAAAAAAUAGUAUAGGGACGCCUGGGUGGCUCAGCGGUUGGGCGCCUGCCUUCGGCUCAGGUCAUCAUCCCGGGAUCCGGUAUCAAGUCCCACAUUGGGCUCCCUGUAAGGAGCCUGCUUCUCCCUCUGCCUGUGUCUCUGCCUCUCUUUCUGUCUGUAUCUCUCAUUAAUAAAUAAAUAAAUCUUUUAAAAUAAAUAAUUUAAAAAAUUUUUAAAUUGUAUAAUGAACUCUUCUGAGUUUAUCACUUAGCUUCAACUCAUAGUUAAUCUUGAUUCCAUGUAUCCCAUUCCCCACUCCCCUCUUCUCCCUCAGUAUUUUGAAGCAAAUAAUUGGCAUUUCAUUUCAUCAGCAAAUACUUCAGCAUGUAGAUCUAGAAGAUAUGGACUUUAAAAAAUAAAAAGUACGAGGCCACUGUCACUACUAAAAAUUAUUUUAGGGCAGCCUGGGUGGCUCAGCGGUUUAGGGCCACCUUCAGCCCAGGGCCUGAUCCUGGAGACCCGGGAUCGAGUCCCACAUCAGGCUCCCUGCAUGGAGCCUGCUUCUCCCUCUGCCUGUGUCUCUGCGUCUCUCUCUCUGUGUGUGUGUCUCUCAUGAAUAAAUAAAUAAAAUCUUUUUUAAAAAUAAAAAAAUUAUUUUAAUUAAUAUUUUGUUCAAUAUUUUGUUAUUUUUGAAUGAGAAAAAACCUAUGAAAUAUUGAUAAGGUAUCCUGUCUCACCCCUUCUACUCCUCAUGGAUCUAUAUAACUCCUGCCUGGAGGGUUUGAGUUUGCAAUACACCUCUGAUUGAUAAACCAGAAUGAUGCUGCUCAGGUUCCUCCAUGAUUCAGGGGGUAUAGGGUGUGGACUCUCUCCAACGAAAUUGUCCCCCUUAAAGAUAUUUCACUAUUUAGAUCAAAGACCCCAUAAUAUUUAAGAAUCAGAGUCUGCCUAAAAGCCUCAAAUUAAUAUUCAAUUUCUGACAUUUAAUAUGAGUUCAAUAAGCACUGUAUUGUUUUAAUACCCUGACAAAGAAAUAAUUGGGAUCUGGUGCUAAUACCCUUUAGCACCUACUCAAAUUUUCCCCUACUUUUAUGGUUCCUUUCAGACAGAAAAGGAGAAAAUGAACUGAAUACUAGAAGGUGUCUCAAAAGGAUUAAUAGAAACCAGAAUAAGGGGGAUCCCUAGGUGGCUCAGUGGUUUAGGGCCUGCGUUCAGCCCAGGGCCUGAUCCUGGAAUCCCAGGAUUGGGUCCCACAUCUGGCUCCCUGCGUGGAGCCUGCUUCUCCCUCUGCCUGUGUCUCUGCCUCUCUCUCUCUCUCUCUCUGUGUGUGUGUCUCUCAUGAAUAAAUAAAAUAAAAUCUUUUAAAAAAAGACAAUAAUUUCAACCCCUUUUUGUUGUUCACUCCCAAAUUUACCUCUCUAGCCACAAAUUUACUUGGGCUAUCGACUCAACCAUCAAACUACCCCCAUGGUUUAUUGUUCAUCAAAUAUUUUAUUUAUUUAUUUGAGAGAGAGAGAGAGCAUAAGAGAGAGAUCACAAACAGUGGGGAAGGAUAGAGGGAGAAGCAGACUCCCCACCAAGCAGGGAGCCUGAUGCAGGACCUAUGACCAAGCCAAAGGCAGACACUUAACCAACUCAGUCACACAGAUGUCCAACCUCUAAUGUUUAAAUGACAUCUAACAUUUUACAUGUUUAAAACACAACUCUUAAUUCCCUCCCUGCAUUAUAUCUGCCCACCCCCCAACAAAACUAUUCCUUUUUAAGUUCCCUCAUUUUAUUAUUUGGCGCCAUCAUCUUCCCUAUCUUGCCAAAUGAUGUCCUCUUCAACCCCCAGAUCCAAAGGUGGAUCACAUGAACUAGGUGUUAGGGAGGAUGUCAUUUGGCAAGAUAGAGAAGAAAUGGAGCUGGGGUCAGCAUUGGGAGGACUGUCCAGG